Molecule: unclassified non-coding RNA, 88 nt
Filed under: Pseudomonas moraviensis
Lineage: Bacteria; Pseudomonadati; Pseudomonadota; Gammaproteobacteria; Pseudomonadales; Pseudomonadaceae
Source: RNAcentral
GUAGGAGUGAGCCUGCUCGCGAUGGCAAUCUGUCAGUUGACAACUCUGGUGACUGACACACCGCAAUCGCGAGCAGGCUCACUCCUAC